Molecule: ribosomal RNA, 494 nt
Filed under: uncultured bacterium
Lineage: Bacteria
Description: bacterial SSU rRNA
Rfam family: Bacterial small subunit ribosomal RNA
Source: RNAcentral
GAUGAACGCUAGCGACAGGCCUAACACAUGCAAGUCGAGGGGCAGCACAUGAGUAGCAAUACGAUGGUGGCGACCGGCGCACGGGUGAGUAACACGUAUGCAACCUGCCUGUAAGAGGGGAAUAACCCGGAGAAAUUCGGACUAAUACCGCAUAAUACCACGAGACUGCAUGGUUUUGUGGUUAAACAUUUAUGGCUUACAGAUGGGCAUGCGUAUGAUUAGAUAGUUGGUAGGGUAACGGCCUACCAAGUCUACGAUCAUUAGGGGUUCUGAGAGGAAGGUCCCCCACACUGGUACUGAGACACGGACCAGACUCCUACGGGAGGCAGCAGUGAGGAAUAUUGGUCAAUGGGCGAGAGCCUGAACCAGCCAAGUCGCGUGAAGGAAGAAGGUUCUAUGGAUUGUAAACUGCUUUUCCAGGAGGAGAAACUCUCGUACGUGAUACGGGAUUGACGGUACCCUGGGAAUAAGCAUCGGCUAACUCCGUGCCAGCA